Molecule: ribosomal RNA, 379 nt
Filed under: uncultured bacterium
Lineage: Bacteria
Description: bacterial SSU rRNA
Rfam family: Bacterial small subunit ribosomal RNA
Source: RNAcentral
AUUGAACGCUGGCGGCAUGCCUUACACAUGCAAGUCGAACGGCAGCACGGGAGCAAUCCUGGUGGCGAGUGGCGAACGGGUGAGUAAUAUAUCGGAACGUGCCCAGUCGUGGGGAUAACGUAGCGAAAGCUACGCUAAUACCGCAUACGAUCUAUGGAUGAAAGCGGGGGAUCGCAAGACCUCGCGCGAUUGGAGCGGCCGAUAUCAGAUUAGGUAGUUGGUGAGGUAAAGGCUCACCAAGCCGACGAUCUGUAGCUGGUCUGAGAGGACGACCAGCCACACUGGGACUGAGACACGGCCCAGACUCCUACGGAGGCAGCAGUGGGGAAUUUUUGGACAAUGGGCGCAAGCCUGAUCCAGCAAUGCCGCGUGCAGGAUG